GGGGAGGUAGCGCAGUGGGUUAAGCGCACAGGGUGCAAAGAGCAAGGACCCUCAUAGGAUCCCGGUUCAAAUCCGGGCUUCCCA
This 84-nucleotide transfer RNA is filed under the name Erinaceus europaeus (western European hedgehog). It matches the Rfam family "tRNA". Rfam says of the family: Transfer RNA (tRNA) molecules are approximately 80 nucleotides in length. Lineage: Eukaryota; Metazoa; Chordata; Mammalia; Eulipotyphla; Erinaceidae. The record is from Rfam by way of RNAcentral.